This is a microRNA precursor of Peromyscus maniculatus bairdii (prairie deer mouse), 67 nucleotides long. NCBI's taxonomy places the organism in Eukaryota, Metazoa, Chordata, Mammalia, Rodentia, Cricetidae. The record is from Ensembl.
UGGUACCGGAAGAGAGGUUUUCUGGGUCUCUGUUUCUUUGAUGAGAAUGAAACACACCCAGCUAACC